This 776-nucleotide ribosomal RNA is filed under the name uncultured Neocallimastigales. Its description in RNAcentral is "partial large subunit ribosomal RNA". It matches the Rfam family "Eukaryotic large subunit ribosomal RNA", at positions 23 to 644 of the family's 3401-position model. Lineage: Eukaryota; Fungi; Neocallimastigomycota; Neocallimastigomycetes; Neocallimastigales. The record is from RNAcentral.
AAGAGAGAGACAUGCGCGCAUAUCAAUAAGCGGAGGAAAAGAAACUAACAAGGAUUCCCUUAGUAACGGCGAGUGAAGCGGGAAGAGCUCAAAUUUGAAAUCUUCAAGGUCCUACCUUGACGAAUUGUAGUUUAUAGAAGUGUUUUCUGUUAGUGGAGUGGCAAAAGUUCUUUGGAAUAGGACAUCAUAGAGGGUGAGAAUCCCGUAUUUGGUCAUUCCUCCUAGCGCUGUGAUACACUUUCAACGAGUCGGAUUGUUUGGGAAUGCAGUCCAAAAUGGGUGGUAAAUUUCAUCUAAAGCUAAAUAUUGGCGAGAGACCGAUAGCGAACAAGUACCGUGAGGGAAAGAUGAAAAGAACUUUGAAAAGAGAGUUAAACAGUACGUGAAAUUGUCAAAAGGGAAGCGUUUGACACCAGUGUUGUUUUUCCGAAAAUCAAUUACGAAUGUUUUAGUUUUUGAGGAGUUAUGACUUCAUCGGCUUGCUCCUUUCUUUAUGAAACUUUCUUAAUGCACUUUUCGGUUAACAAGUCAACAUCAAUUUCUUUUGUUGUAAAAGGGUAUGAGGAAGGUGGCUUUCUUUUCGGAGAAAGUGUUUAUAGCCUUGUGCCUCUGCAAUCGGAGAGAUUGAGGUCUGCAGCGUAGAUCCUUCGGGGUUAGAUACGUUUGUGCUAAGUUAUAGCUUUUCAUAGACAACUUGUUGACUAUGUUUAGUCUUGUAGCUUACUCGCUGACGCUAUUUUACCUACGCUUAGGAUGUUGAUAGUCACAGCGUGUAC